AUUGGAACCACCUGAUCCCAUCCCGAACUCAGAAGUGAAACGAUGCAUCGCCGAUGGUAGUGUGGGGCUUUCCCAUGUGAGAGUAGGUCAUCGUCAAGC
Molecule: ribosomal RNA, 99 nt
Filed under: Pseudomonas sp.
Lineage: Bacteria; Pseudomonadati; Pseudomonadota; Gammaproteobacteria; Pseudomonadales; Pseudomonadaceae
Source: RNAcentral